RNAcentral lists this ribosomal RNA (542 nucleotides) under Monomia lucida. RNAcentral's name for it is "partial 16S ribosomal RNA". It matches the Rfam family "Archaeal large subunit ribosomal RNA", at positions 1902 to 2673 of the family's 2987-position model. The record is from RNAcentral. Lineage: Eukaryota; Metazoa; Arthropoda; Malacostraca; Decapoda; Portunidae.
AAAACAUGUCUAUUACGAUGAUAUUUAUAGUCUAGCCUGCUCAGUGACAUAGGAAUGUUAAAUAGCCGCGGUAUCCUGACCGUGCAAAGGUAGCAUAAUCAUUAGUUUUUUAAUUGGAAACUGGAAUGAAUGGUCAAACAAAGAAAGAACUGUCUUUUUUAUUAAAAUUGAAAUUAACUUCCAAGUGAAAAGGCUUGGAUUCUCUAAGGGGACGAUAAGACCCUAUAAAGCUUUAUAAGUCUAGGAAUUUUAGAUAUUUUGUAGGAUAAAUUUAUUUUCUGAUAACUUAUUUGGUUGGGGCGACAAAGGUAUAAUUAUGGAUAACUGCUAUUAAUUUUGAUACAUUUAUUGGUGAUUGAAAUUUAGGGUAAUUGAUCCUCUUUGGGGAUUAAAAGAUCAAGUUACUUUAGGGAUAACAGCGUAAUUUUUCCUGAGAGUUCUUAUCAAAGGAGGAGUUUGCGACCUCGAUGUUGAAUUAAAAUAUCUUUAUAGUGCAGCAGCUAUAGAAGAAGGUCUGUUCGACCUUUAAAUUUUUACGUGAU